RNAcentral lists this ribosomal RNA (301 nucleotides) under uncultured bacterium. RNAcentral's name for it is "partial 16S ribosomal RNA". It matches the Rfam family "Bacterial small subunit ribosomal RNA", at positions 509 to 809 of the family's 1533-position model. The record is from RNAcentral.
CAGUCGCCGCGGUAAUACGUAGGUGGCAAGCGUUGUCCGGAAUUAUUGGGCGUAAAGCGCGCGCAGGCGGAUCAGUCAGUCUGUCUUAAAAGUUCGGGGCUUAACCCCGUGAUGGGAUGGAGACUGUUGAUCUAGAGUAUCGGAGAGGAAAGUGGAAUUCCUAGUGUAGCGGUGAAAUGCGUAGAUAUUAGGAAGAACACCAGUGGCGAAGGCAGCUUCUUGGUCCAUUCCUGACGUUCAUACACGAGAGCGUGGGGAGCAAACAGGAUUAGAUACCCGAGUAGUCCCUGUCUCUUAACAC